This 253-nucleotide ribosomal RNA is filed under the name uncultured bacterium. Its description in RNAcentral is "partial 16S ribosomal RNA". It matches the Rfam family "Bacterial small subunit ribosomal RNA", at positions 524 to 776 of the family's 1533-position model. The record is from RNAcentral.
GACAGAGGGUGCAAACGUUGUUCGGAAUUACUGGGCGUAAAGGGCGCGUAGGCGGCCUGCUAAGUCACACGUGAAAUCCCUCGGCUCAACCGGGGAACUGCGUGUGAUACUGGCGGGCUUGAAUUCGGGAGAGGGAUGUGGAAUUCCAGGUGUAGCGGUGAAAUGCGUAGAUAUCUGGAGGAACACCGGUGGCGAAGGCGGCAUCCUGGACCGAGAUUGACGCUGAGGCGCGAAAGCUAGGGUAGCAAACGGG